CGUGCCUAAUACAUGCAAGUCGAGCGGAUCUUCAUUAGCUUGCUUUUGAAGAUCAGCGGCGGACGGGUGAGUAACACGUGGGCAACCUGCCUGUAAGACUGGGAUAACUUCGGGAAACCGGAGCUAAUACCGGAUAAUCCUUUCCCUCACAUGAAGGAAAGCUGAAAGACGGCAUCUCGCUGUCACUUACAGAUGGGCCCGCGGCGCAUUAGCUAGUUGGUGAGGUAACGGCUCACCAAGGCAACGAUGCGUAGCCGACCUGAGAGGGUGAUCGGCCACACUGGGACUGAGACACGGCCCAGACUCCUACGGGAGGCAGCAGUAGGGAAUCUUCCGCAAUGGACGAAAGUCUGACGGAGCAACGCCGCGUGAACGAUGAAGGCCUUCGGGUCGUAAAGUUCUGUUGUCACGGAAGAACAAGUACCGGAGUAACUGCCGGUACCUUGACGGUACCUGACCAGAAAGCCACGGCUAACUACGUGCCAGCAGCCGCGGUAAUACGUAGGUGGCAAGCGUUGUCCGGAAUUAUUGGGCGUAAAGCGCGCGCAGGCGGUUCCUUAAGUCUGAUGUGAAAGCCCCCGGCUCAACCGGGGAGGGUCAUUGGAAACUGGGGAACUUGAGUGCAGAAGAGGAGAGCCGAAUUCCACGUGUAGCGGUGAAAUGCGUAGAGAUGUGGAGGAACACCAGUGGCGAAGCGGCUCUCUGGUCUGUAACUGACGCUGA
Molecule: ribosomal RNA, 723 nt
Filed under: Bacillus sp. SP49
Lineage: Bacteria; Bacillati; Bacillota; Bacilli; Caryophanales; Bacillaceae
Description: bacterial SSU rRNA
Rfam family: Bacterial small subunit ribosomal RNA
Source: RNAcentral